Molecule: ribosomal RNA, 504 nt
Filed under: uncultured bacterium
Lineage: Bacteria
Description: partial 16S ribosomal RNA
Rfam family: Bacterial small subunit ribosomal RNA
Source: RNAcentral
AUUGAACGCUGGCGGCAGGCCUAACACAUGCAAGUCGAACGGUAGCACAGAGAGCUUGCUCUCGGGUGACGAGUGGCGGACGGGUGAGUAACGUCUGGGAAACUGCCCGAUGGAGGGGGAUAACUACUGGAAACGGUAGCUAAUACCGCAUAACGUCGCAAGACCAAAGUGGGGGACCUUCGGGCCUCACACCAUCGGAUGUGCCCAGAUGGGAUUAGCUAGUAGGUGGGGUAAUGGCUCACCUAGGCGACGAUCCCUAGCUGGUCUGAGAGGAUGACCAGCCACACUGGAACUGAGACACGGUCCAGACUCCUACGGGAGGCAGCAGUGGGGAAUAUUGCACAAUGGGCGCAAGCCUGAUGCAGCCAUGCCGCGUGUAUGAAGAAGGCCUUCGGGUUGUAAAGCACUUUCAGCGGGGAGGAAGGCGGUGAGUUUAAUAAGCUCACCGAUUGACGUUACCCGCAGAAGAGGCACCGGCUAACUUCGUGCCAGCAGCCGCCGUAA